RNAcentral lists this long non-coding RNA (344 nucleotides) under Bos indicus x Bos taurus (hybrid cattle). RNAcentral's name for it is "lncRNA (ENSBIXG00005002775.1)". The record is from RNAcentral. Lineage: Eukaryota; Metazoa; Chordata; Mammalia; Artiodactyla; Bovidae.
CACAAAGAAUCAGUCACAACUGAAUGAUUAAACAGGUAGAACAGACAGAGAACUGAGUACAGUUCCCUAUGCUUUACAGUGAGUUCUUACCAGUUAUCUAUUUUAUUUUAUUCACUAUUGACCUGUAAUUGACCACAACACAAUCCCACAGAAAUAUUCAUCCCCUUCAGCUCUCCAAGUGUCUAUAACUGCCUUCGAAAUGGAGAAAUCAUAUAAGCAGCAGGGAAAGGAGGAAGGAGGCUGAAAGGGGAAACCGCAGCACCAGGGGAAGGGACAAAAUCUGUGUGCUGGAUGCUGCUGGACUCUGUGGAUGCGAUGAUCAGCAAGACUCCUGGGGCCUUGCC